RNAcentral lists this ribosomal RNA (538 nucleotides) under uncultured Geobacteraceae bacterium. RNAcentral's name for it is "bacterial SSU rRNA". It matches the Rfam family "Bacterial small subunit ribosomal RNA", at positions 11 to 526 of the family's 1533-position model. The record is from RNAcentral. Lineage: Bacteria; Pseudomonadati; Thermodesulfobacteriota; Desulfuromonadia; Geobacterales; Geobacteraceae.
GUUUGAUCCUGGCUCAGAACGAACGCUGGCGGCGUGCCUAACACAUGCAAGUCGAACGUGAUCCAGAGCUUGCUCUGGUGAAAGUGGCGCACGGGUGAGUAACGCGUGGAUAACCUACCCUGGUAUCCGGGAUAACAUUCCGAAAGGGGUGCUAAUACCGGAUAAGCCCACGGGCUCUUUGGAGCUUGCGGGAAAAGGUGGCCUCUAUUUAUAAGCUACUGUAUCAGGAUGGGUCCGCGUACCAUUAGCUAGUUGGCGGUGUAACGGACCACCAAGGCGACGAUGGUUAGCUGGUCUGAGAGGAUGAUCAGCCACACUGGAACUGAGACACGGUCCAGACCCCUACGGGAGGCAGCAGUGGGGAAUUUUGCGCAAUGGGGGAAACCCUGACGCAGCAACGCCGCGUGAGUGAUGAAGGCCUUUGGGUCGUAAAGCUCUGUCAGAGGGGAAGAAAUGAUAUAGUGCUAAUACCACUUUAUCUUGACGGUACCCUCAAAGGAAGCACCGGCUAACUCCGUGCCAGCAGCCGCGGUAAUAC